Molecule: ribosomal RNA, 594 nt
Filed under: uncultured Trichoderma
Lineage: Eukaryota; Fungi; Ascomycota; Sordariomycetes; Hypocreales; Hypocreaceae
Description: eukaryotic LSU rRNA
Rfam family: 5.8S ribosomal RNA (bases 204-357)
Source: RNAcentral
GNNNAAACGGGUAACUCCAACCCAAUGUGAACGUUACCAAACUGUUGCCUCGGCGGGAUCUCUGCCCCGGGUGCGUCGCAGCCCCGGACCAAGGCGCCCGCCGGAGGACCAACCUAAAACUCUUAUUGUAUACCCCCUCGCGGGUUUUUUUUAUAAUCUGAGCCUUCUCGGCGCCUCUCGUAGGCGUUUCGAAAAUGAAUCAAAACUUUCAACAACGGAUCUCUUGGUUCUGGCAUCGAUGAAGAACGCAGCGAAAUGCGAUAAGUAAUGUGAAUUGCAGAAUUCAGUGAAUCAUCGAAUCUUUGAACGCACAUUGCGCCCGCCAGUAUUCUGGCGGGCAUGCCUGUCCGAGCGUCAUUUCAACCCUCGAACCCCUCCGGGGGGUCGGCGUUGGGGAUCGGCCCUCCCUUAGCGGGUGGCCGUCUCCGAAAUACAGUGGCGGUCUCGCCGCAGCCUCUCCUGCGCAGUAGUUUGCACACUCGCAUCGGGAGCGCGGCGCGUCCACAGCCGUUAAACACCCAACUUCUGAAAUGUUGACCUCGGAUCAGGUAGGAAUACCCGCUGAACUUAAGCAUAUCAAUAGGCGGGAGGAAA